UUGUAACUACAGCGUUUCCCUCUUAAUAGAUCCUCAAUAAGCAGUCAAUGAGUGACUCACGGAGCAGGGUGUCCACCUCAUCAGAACACCUGAUUGUGAGUGGUGCAGCUUCAGUGUGCAGAAACAUAGCACGAGAGCACAAGAGCACGAGAGAGGUGGGAGUUGGUGUCUCCGUUCCAGGCCACUGUUCAUUCACCUUGGAUUCCUUAAGGAGAAGACCUAAGAUUCUUGAGGUUUGGGCAUCCUGGCUAUCUGGCUCAAGCUAUAAACUCUGGAGACAACGAAGGGCAAGGGGAAUGGGACAUGAAGGGAAAAGUUUUCCACUUGUUAAUUAACUCCCUUAGAUUAGGGAGUUGCAGGGCCUGCAAGAAAGGCAGAACCAGCCAUCUGA
RNAcentral lists this long non-coding RNA (391 nucleotides) under Microcebus murinus (gray mouse lemur). RNAcentral describes it as "lncRNA (ENSMICG00000048431.1)". The record is from RNAcentral. Lineage: Eukaryota; Metazoa; Chordata; Mammalia; Primates; Cheirogaleidae.